RNAcentral lists this ribosomal RNA (430 nucleotides) under uncultured archaeon. RNAcentral describes it as "bacterial SSU rRNA". It matches the Rfam family "Archaeal small subunit ribosomal RNA", at positions 474 to 903 of the family's 1478-position model. The record is from RNAcentral.
UACCUGCAGCUCGAGUGGUAACCGCUAUUAUUGGGCCUACAGCGUCCGUAGCCGGUUUGGUAAAUAUCUGGGUAAAUCGUGAGGCUUAACUUCACGAAUUUCGGAUAGACUGCCAGACUUGGGAUCGGGGGAGGUCAGAGGUACUCCAGGGGUAGCGGUGAAAUGUUGUAAUCCUUGGAGGACCACCGGUAGCGAAGGCGUCUGACUAGAACGAGUCCGACGGUGAGGGACGAAGCCCUGGGGGCGCAAACCGGGAUUAGAUACCCGGGUAGUCCAGGGUGUAAACGAUGUGGGCUUUGUAUUGGAGGUCCCACGUGGGCGUCCAGUGCAGAAGAGAAGUUGUUAAGCCCACCGCCUGGGAAGUACGGUCGCAAGGCUGAAACUUAAAGGAAUUGGCGGGGAGCACAGCAACGGGAGGAGCGUGCGGUUU